Molecule: long non-coding RNA, 1367 nt
Organism: Papaver somniferum (opium poppy)
Lineage: Eukaryota; Viridiplantae; Streptophyta; Magnoliopsida; Ranunculales; Papaveraceae
Exons: 2
Source: RefSeq, a predicted model, not a curated record
AAAGUUAUGCGAAUUAGACUACUCGAACGUGUCAUUCGGGUACCGGACGAAGAAGAUAUCAUCAAUUUAGUGAGAGGGGCAAAAUGGUCUUUUCCACAUUAAACCGACUGGGGGUUCCCUUGUUCAUUUCAGCGGGUCUUCCAUAGUGUUUCCCCUUGUCUAUCAAAACCAAACCCAGAAGAUAAGUUCGCAUUUUUCUUCUUCUUAUUUUUCUCUUUUCUUCUUCUUUCUUCUUCUUCUUUUUUCUGUCUCUGUUACCGGCGAUUGAGGGUUGAGAGUUCGAUCUGAGAGAUUUAAUUGAAGAGGUAGAGCAUGUUAAGUAGAAGAUGAUGAUGAUAUUGUGGUUAAUUGAGCACGAGAUGAAGAUGAUUGGGUUUUUCUAUGAUUAUGAAAUAGGGUUUCUGAGAAAUGAAUUCGAUUGAAGAUUUUUAUGAUAUUGAGGAUGAAAUUAAGUGAUUAAUGAUGGGGUUUGAUUAUUGAGAACAACGAAGAAGAAUUGAAGUCGAAUUUCAAGUUUCAAUAAAGAAUUGAAGAACUAGCUAGGGUUUUAUAGGAAAUUCAGAAGAAGGAUUGGAAGAUGAAUUGGGAGUUUAAGGAAGGGAUUAGAUAUGGGUUUGACGUGGAUUAGAGUGGUGAUUGAAGUUUUGCUCCAUUUAAGAGUAUAUGGUUUUAAUUUUAAAUCUGAGAUUGAUAACCAAAUGUUGUUUAUGAAGCUAGGGGUUGUUCUGAUAAUAGGAGAAGAAGGUGAUAAACAUGGUAAGAUUUCAGUGAUUAAUCUCUCCUGCAAUUUCUCAAUUGGGAAUCGAUUUAAGAGGGGCUGGUGUUGGUUUUGAGAUGAGUUAUUGAUUUGAGUCAGAACAAAAGAGAAUCUGGAUCGCAACUACCUGAGCAAACUUGAUACAGUAUGAGGUAAUUACUUUCUUAGACAAUUGAGUUGAGGUUUUGUUGGUGUAUGAAUGAAACAAUGCUUGUGUUAAUACUGUCGAGUUAUGAGAAUUGGUGGUAAUGGUGAUUCUGAAGUUUGAAUAUGACUCUCAAAUGGAGAUCUGGUGUUAUGGUUAUUGUGGUGGUUGAAUCGGUUAGGUGCGUAUGAUGUUGAGUGAUGUGGUGUGUGAUGCUGUUAGAGGGAGAAUAAGAUGUUGACUUAGUGAAGUUGAUACUGAGUAGGAUGUUGUAAUGUUGGUGGUGGAUGAAUGUUGUUGUUGAUGUUGCUUAGAGUUGGAGUUGUAGCUAGUGAUUGCUGUGAAAGCUUGUAACUGCAAUUGCAGGUAAACUUAGUUUGUAAUUGUAAAUGAGUUAUAAAGUUUACUUAAAAUGAAUGUAUCUAGAAUUGAAAUGUUAAUGAAGUAGAACUGGAAAUGAGACUA